RNAcentral lists this ribosomal RNA (279 nucleotides) under marine snow associated bacterium Adriatic91. RNAcentral's name for it is "partial 16S ribosomal RNA". It matches the Rfam family "Bacterial small subunit ribosomal RNA", at positions 186 to 462 of the family's 1533-position model. The record is from RNAcentral.
UUUGAAAGUAGUGUUUGAAAGAGUSCUCUAUSUAUGCACUUGCUAAGAGAUGGGCUGCGGACAUUAGCUUGAUGGUGGSSYAACGGCCUACCAUGGCRCGAUGUCUAGCUGGUCUGAGAGGAUGAUCAGCCACACUGGAACUGAGACACGGUCCAGACUCUACGGGAGGCAGCAGUGGGGAAUAUUGCGCAAUGGNNNAAACCCUGAGCAAUGCCGCGUGAGUGAGGAAGGCCCUCGGGUUGUAAAACUCUGUCAAUGUGGAAAAAUGGCACUUUAUCU